GCAAACCCUAGCGCGGCGGCCGAUGCUAGGCGGUAGCGGCGGCGCCUCUCUCGCGACCUGGACCUCUAGCAGCGGAGCCAUCCGUGCCUUGCCAGCUCACUUUGUAGUCUCUAGGCGAGCUGCCAUCAGAGGUUAUAUGGAUUUGUGAUUAGUUCUUCUCAGGAUCUUUGUAUAUUGGCUUUGGAGUCUUGACUAUGCCCAGGUGCCUUCAUAUUUUAUCAUUUGAUGAUUACAAUUAUGAAGUGCGAUUUGCUAUUUAUUUUGAAGAAAUAGCAAUGCCUAAUUUGUUCUGGGCAUAAUUUUCUAUCAGUAUGUAGCUGAUCAUAUCAUUAUUAUUUGUUACAUAGGAAAUCUUUAGCUUCUCCUGAUCACACCAUUUUUAUUUAUGUGUAUAUUGUACACAACAAGUCUUUGACUUCUCCAACCACUAAGUACUGAAGUUUCUGUAUGUAAGGAUUGCUCCUUGGUCAAUAUUUGAUUACCACAGAUAGUUGAGCAGUGCACGACUACACGAUUAGAAUUUUACUCACAGGAGGCUAAAGACGAAAAUUUAGUUCGCCUUUGUCAAAUAUGUAAAUUUAAUUCACCUUUGUCAAAUACGUAGAGCAAAACUUACUCCUAUAAAUCAUACAUUUGUAUUGCACUAGACUUUGACCUUGUGUUCCAUGUUCCAUGUUAUUGCAUGCCCAUACAUCUUUUCUCCAAGCUUUUUUGGAAGCUUAAAAUAUUACCCCUCAAAGGUUUAUCGUACCAGGUAGCUUAUUUUGAGGCAUGCAACGUUUGAUUUUAACACAAUAUAUGUUUCAUUGCACAUACUAUUUUGACUUGUUUGCCAUUGUAUACAUAACAUGAUAGAAUUUCAGUAAAUUCUCUUAUCCAAACAUUUCCCAUUUCCAAAUGUGUAAAGAUAUCUUUCCCAACAUGUUCUCAGUAAUCAGCAGUGGGAAUAAGCCCUUCCAGUACUUUUCGCCAAACAAUGUUUUGGAGUAAUUGUUCUUUCUCGGUGCAGUAGCAAGAGUUAACUAGAGAAGCAGACAAGUUGCUAAUUUGUAUGUUCUCAGCUGAGAUGAAUAUUAUAUCUAGGUCUGAUUCUCCAAAACAGAAAUAUUUUGAAAAAUGAUCCCAGGAUUGAAUACUAAAAAAGAGCCGUAUAUAUUAAUGCUUUGAUUUGCAACCUAUUGCACAUAUAUAGUUGGUAGAUCAUUGUCCUGUUGGAUAUAUAUGAGGGUGAUCUUCAGGUGUACUCUAAGGCAAGCAAGUUAUUGUGAAAUGCAUGAUUCUGUGGUAAUAUGGAUGCAUAUCAUAUAACUUCAUUAUUUUAGAUAUGAGAGAACACAUUCAUUUUUAUUUGAUGGAGGGUUUGGUUUCAAUAUAUCAAUGUCAUGCCGAAGGAUUUCUAACAUAGGCGCAGUCUUAGGCGAAGGAAAAUAAAGAAUGAUCCAACAAUCAUACUUCCCAUACAUACACGUCAAAUCCAAGCUCCAACUAAUUGUUUGAUCAGUGAUAGAUAAACACAGCAUUCUGACCAUUCUAUUGUCAAAAUGAUAGGCACGGCGAUGGAAUGUGAUUAGAAGUAUGUGCUUGCUUUGUCAUGAAGAGCCAAUAUAAAGUACUAGUUGGUCCAUCAGUUGACAACAGAACUCCUACGCUUGUCAAAUUAAUUAGUGUUAUUAACAUAGUUUCAGUUUAGAACUUCUGCAUUUUUGGUUAUCUCUUCUUAUUGGGGGUGGGGGGAUUACUUUCCAUUUUGACGAGUACCUUAAAUGACCACUCGUUUGUGAAAUCAUUCUCUUUUAGAAAGCCAUGUUUUGCGUACGGUUUCAUCCCUGAGGUCAAUUGCCUCAAGCUGCUUCCGACCGUUAUUCAUAUGUGUGAGAGCGUAAGUAUGAACCUGUGUGAUACACAUCUGGUAGGACAAGUGAACACAAAACUUGAGUCAUAAGUUGAUCCAUGGCCAUAGUUACCAAUAAUUCAAGGUGGGCACCUAAAUCGCUCUUGAUGUGAUUAAAUUCACCUUUUGUUAAUAUUGUCAUAUUGAUAUGUUAUUUCUGCUCUUCGCACUUCUAUUUAGAUUUUUUGUGAUUUCUUGAGGAUUAUAAAGGAGAUGGUGCCCAUGGGUUCUGCUAGGUCAGUCAUUAUUGAAAUUUUUUGCGUUAUUUGGGAUCAAUUAUAACAAGACAAUUGGAUAUGGUUUAUAAAAACUCAUAUUUUAUUUAUUUAAUAUUCUUCCACCUGACUCUGUUUAUCUAUGCAUGUAUUGUUCUGUCCUUUUGGUAAGGAUGGCAUCAAUUGCGAGAUAAUGGUUAUGCAAGGCGUCAAUGCUAGAUGAUGGUAGUCUUCUGUAUACUGGUUGGGGCCUUUUUUGCUGCAGGAGUAGAUGCACUAACCUCGGAAUUGGAUUAGGUUUUGCUCACAUGCAUGACACAGACAAUACAAAUUUUUGAGGGUGUUGAAGAUGCUUGCCAUUUCCUGAGCGCUAUUCAUGCUACUCCAUACGAUUUCAUACGAGCUAUGUUGCCAUCAUUAGUAUGCAUGUAAUUUCUUGAAAAGUGUAAUUUUAAUAAGAAAAUAUUUAUUUGUUCAAUUUCUUUUCAUUUUCUAUACUAACUUGAUAGAAGUCAAGUGUAGAAGAAGAAAACAAAUCAUCUACCCAAGUC
This is a long non-coding RNA of Triticum aestivum (bread wheat), 2657 nucleotides long. RefSeq lists it as uncharacterized. The record is from RefSeq and is a predicted model, not a curated record. The transcript has 2 exons. NCBI's taxonomy places the organism in Eukaryota, Viridiplantae, Streptophyta, Magnoliopsida, Poales, Poaceae.